Cyprinus carpio (common carp) is the source of this 1201-nucleotide long non-coding RNA. The record is from Ensembl. NCBI's taxonomy places the organism in Eukaryota, Metazoa, Chordata, Actinopteri, Cypriniformes, Cyprinidae.
UAUAUUCAGGACAAUUACACGCUGUUAUCGCUUUACAGUUCCUACUCAUAAAAUAUGUGCACUGCAUGUUGACAUAAACCUUAAUAUAACGUUCAACAACAGAUAUUUCAGCACAAUGAAUAUUUUUGUGCUGAGUAUUAAUUGUCUCCCUCUGUCUGUGUUCAGUCUGUCUGCCGCGCCGGCGCUCAUUCAAUAAAGAUUUAAACUGAACACAGACUGUCAGGACGGACCUUUAUGCGAAAAUGCAAAUGCUUGCGGGAAUUUGUGACAUUUACAGAUGAGGAUUUGUCCUUAAACUGAAAGUUUUUGUGAUGAAGAUACACACAUCUGCCAAAGUGCCUGACAGGGCAAGCCAUUACGCUAAUGCAUUAGCUCAGUAUAUCAAAUCUAGCCUGAGCUGCAGCAGUUUACACACAGAGCAAACAGAUCUACAGAGGACAGCAUCAGCACAGUCCUUCACACUGCACCAAACCAAUCAAAUCAAAUCAAGCUUUGAAGAAAGUAUCAAGUCUUUCAUUGAAUUCAAACAUGUUGGGAGCAACAUGGUUGAACACUUGAAGGAGGCUGAGCUCACUAAACCCUUCCUCUUUGUUCUUGGUCUUGGGGAUGACAGUCAGUGCCAUCGAGCCUUUGUUGUUGUUGGCAAACAGACACUGCAGCAAACACUCCUUGGUGCUGCUUUAAACUUUUUUAUGUUUUGGACAUCCAUUUCCCGAAGCAGUGCACACCAGUGUGGGAAUUUCAGCAGACUGUUGUCUAUAAACUCCCAGGAACAGAAUCUCCUUCAGUAAGACUGCUCUGAGGAUAUUUGUCAUGUUGAACAGUACUGGACCCAAGACAACUAACCCUCUCUAAAAUGUGAUGUGAGUUUAUAUGAAGAGGAAAGUUGUCAGACUAAUACAUCUAAAGCAUUUUACUUUUGCCACUCUGUUCUUGUGCCUCUUUGUUAAACUUACUCUCUAAAAAGUUAUGAAAGUGACGUGACAUACAGCCAAGUAUGAUGACCCAUACUCAGAAUUCAUGCUCUGCAUUUAACCCACGCAAAGUGCACACACACAGCAGUGAACACACACACACAUCAGUGAACACACACACACGGAGCAGUGGGCAGCCAUUUAUGCUGCGGCGCCUGGGGAGCAGUUGGGUGUUCAGUGCCUUGCUCAAGGGCACCUCAGUCGUGGUAUUGCCGGCUCGAAACUCG